This 70-nucleotide transfer RNA is filed under the name Camelus bactrianus (Bactrian camel). It matches the Rfam family "tRNA". From Rfam's summary of the family: Transfer RNA (tRNA) molecules are approximately 80 nucleotides in length. Their secondary structure includes four short double-helical elements and three loops (D, anti-codon, and T loops). The record is from Rfam by way of RNAcentral. RNAcentral also lists the same sequence under 2 other names. Lineage: Eukaryota; Metazoa; Chordata; Mammalia; Artiodactyla; Camelidae.
GGGUAUAGCUUCAUGGUAGAGCAUAUGCUUAGUAUGUAUGAAGUCCUGGGUUCAAUCCUCAGUACCUCCA